This 253-nucleotide ribosomal RNA is filed under the name uncultured bacterium. RNAcentral's name for it is "partial 16S ribosomal RNA". It matches the Rfam family "Bacterial small subunit ribosomal RNA", at positions 524 to 776 of the family's 1533-position model. The record is from RNAcentral.
UACGUAGGGUGCAAGCGUUGUCCGGAUUUAUUGGGCGUAAAGAGCUCGUAGGCGGUCCGUCGCGUCGGAUGUGAAAACCCAGGGCUCAACCCUGGGCCUGCAUUCGAUACGGGCAGACUAGAGUGUGGCAGGGGAGACUGGAAUUCCUGGUGUAGCGGUGAAAUGCGCAGAUAUCAGGAGGAACACCGGUGGCGAAGGCGGGUCUCUGGGCCAAUACUGACGCUGAGGAGCGAAAGCGUGGGGAGCGAACAGG